UACAGAGGGGGCAAGCGUUGUUCGGAAUUACUGGGCGUAAAGGGCGCGUAGGCGGCCUUCUAAGUCGAACGUGAAAUCCCCGGGCUCAACCCGGGAACUGCGUCCGAUACUGGAAGGCUUGAAUCCGGGAGAGGGAUGCGGAAUUCCAGGUGUAGCGGUGAAAUGCGUAGAUAUCAGGAGGAACACCGGUGGCGAAGGCGGAUCUCUGGGCCUUACCUGACGCUCAGGCGCGAAAGCUAGGGGAGCGAACUGG
Molecule: ribosomal RNA, 253 nt
Filed under: uncultured bacterium
Lineage: Bacteria
Description: partial 16S ribosomal RNA
Rfam family: Bacterial small subunit ribosomal RNA
Source: RNAcentral